Molecule: ribosomal RNA, 433 nt
Filed under: uncultured bacterium
Lineage: Bacteria
Description: partial 16S ribosomal RNA
Rfam family: Bacterial small subunit ribosomal RNA
Source: RNAcentral
AACGAACGCUGGCGGCAUGCCUAACGCAUGCAAGUCGAACGAGACCUUCGGGUCUAGUGGCGCACGGGUGCGUAACGCGUGGGAACCUGCCCUUAGGUUCGGAAUAACUCCCCGAAAGGGGUGCUAAUACCGGAUAAUGUCUUCGGACCAAAGAUUUAUCGCCUUUGGAUGGGCCCGCGUUGGAUUAGCUAGUUGGUAGGGUAAAAGCCUACCAAGGCGACGAUCCAUAGCUGGUCUGAGAGGAUGAUCAGCCACACUGGGACUGAGACACGGCCCAGACUCCUACGGGAGGCAGCAGUGGGGAAUAUUGGACAAUGGGCGAAAGCCUGAUCCGGCAAUGCCGCGUGAGUGAUGAAGGCCUUAGGGUUGUAAAGCUCUUUUACCCGGGAUGAUAAUGACAGUACCGGGAGAAUAAGCUCCGGCUAACUCCGUG